AACGUAGGAGACAAACGUUAUCCGGAGUUACUGGGCGUAAAGGGCGUGUAGGUGGUUUCGUAAGUCUGGCGUGAAAUUUUUCGGCUUAACCGGGAAAGGUCGUCGGAUACUGCGGAGCUAGAGGACGGUAGAGGGUAGUGGAAUUCCCGGUGUAGCGGUGAAAUGCGUAGAGAUCGGGAGGAACACCAGUGGCGAAGGCGGCUACCUGGACCAGCACUGACACUGAGGCACGAAAGCGUGGGGAGCAAACAGG
RNAcentral lists this ribosomal RNA (253 nucleotides) under uncultured bacterium. RNAcentral describes it as "partial 16S ribosomal RNA". It matches the Rfam family "Bacterial small subunit ribosomal RNA", at positions 524 to 776 of the family's 1533-position model. The record is from RNAcentral.